CUCCCUCGCCUCAGCCGCCAGGAGCGGCGGUCGAUCCGGUGCCGCGCCGGCCGCGGGCCGCCGGCCGGUGCCGGCGAGCGUCCGCGCCUUCGGAGUCUUCCUCUGCGCCUUUCUGCAUGGGGACGCGUUCGGAGGAGCUCGCUGCCAGGUUGGCGGCCGGGGGCCCCGGCGGCGUCGGCGGACCAGCAGGAGGAGGAUGCGGGGAGGGGCAGCACGAGCGGGUGGUCGCGCUCCGCGAGAUCAAGAACCAGACCUUCGGGAACCAGACCAAGAAGCUCCUCUACCUCCGCCUGGGUGCCGUGUUAGCGGUCGUCACGGCGCGUCACCAGCCAUGCUCGUCCAUGAGCGGCCGCGGCGGAGUACUUUGCUUGCGGCGUAGACGAUGGCGCGCAUGCCGUGCUUGCUGCUGGAGCCGUGGGGCACCUCCUCGCCCACCCCGACAACAAGAAGAGCUGGUGGGAGGAAAUGGGUGGCUACCCAGCAACUGCUUGCUGGUUGCGCCAAUUUGGGGCUUGCUAGCAAUUGUGCUUGUCCCUGAACUAUAGACCAAAAAGAGACAAUGCUAACUUAAUGAAUGUUUUGUGUGGGAAUUAGUCUGUACAUUAGCCACAACCGGAUCCAGAUUGAGGUUGGCGGUCGAUACCAACGCCGUCCUGGAUGGCGUGCUCGAGAUCGAAGGCGGGGAACUCCAGAAGGCAGACGGCGGCAUUGCCUCAGUUGUAGCUGCAUGGGGAAGAGGAGGGGUGGAGGAGUAGACGCUGCAUCUCCAUCCGCCGUGAUGGGAGUGAUGGCGCCGGCGCUCGCCGUGUCCGCCGUCAGCUCCAUCUUGACGAUGUUAUCCUCGAUUGGAAGUUCGAGCGCCCUCACAACAGGACUUACUCCACCCCUUCUCCCUCCCCGUUCCCUUCCCCUGGGGGUUAAUUGAAGUAUUUAUAUUUCCGUAUUAGUGUGGUUCAACUUGCUAUUGGGCAUAUGGUGUGUUUUCUGAAUUUUGGUCUGAAAGAUGAUUUUGUGAGUUCAAGCUUUUGUGCGAUUCCUGAUGUUGUGUUCCUGCCAAAUGACAUAUGUCCUGCACUGAAUUUUUCUGACGCUAUAAUCAUGGCAGGAGCUUUGUACUGGGAAAGCAUGUCAGAAUUAUCUAGAAUUGAUGGACUUUAGUUGGUGUUUGUUUGCUGGAUGGAAUUAGAUUUGUGGAUAUAUCAGUUUAUGGGUGGCUACUUGAUUGGUGAAUUCACCUGCUAUAUGAACACUAUUUUUAAUAAAUGGUGUGCAUCUAGAGAUGUAUAAGAACAAGUUUGAGGAUAAAGAUUCAUAUAAAGAAUUAUGUAAAAAAUUGUGAUUCUUAAUAUCUUGAGAACUAGCGUAUAUUUUUUCCACUACAUUAGCCUUCAGAUUUUUCUUGGAUUUGCUUUCUGCACUAAUGUUUUCAGUACCAUCCUUCUUCCGCGAUGCUGCUGCAUGCCAGGAUUCGCAGUGGCACCGCCGCAGCCAGCGAGGACACAAGCUCACGAGGAUUGUUGCCGCUUCGGAGGACAUGGGAGCUGCCAUAGCCAGCGAGUACGUGAGCGCACGUAGGCACCAUCGCUUUCGAGGAUGCGAGAGCCAUCUCAGCUUGAGAGAAUGCGCAUACCAUCUCCAGUGUGUGCAACAAGUGUUCCUCUAAACGUCUGAGCGUAAAGACUACUCAUGGGUGAUGCUUCUGUGACCAGACCUCUAUGUAUGUCCUUUGCGGCCUUUCCUAUAAAUAAAUUAUAAGUAUAUGUCAUUGCCAUAUUAAUUGUGUACUUCUCUAUUAGAAAAUCACAAGAUAGUUUCAGUGUUGUUGUUCUCAAUCUUGUUACCCUUAAGUGCAAGACAUCAAUUUGCUCUUAAGUAAAAGGGAAAUUUGAGCAGGAAAGGUAAGCAAUUCGAAGCAAGCUCCCGAGAUAAAUUUUCUUUUGGUUUAGCUAACGAAUGCCUUGGUAUAGGUCUAAUCUCUCCUUCCUAGAGAUGGUUCUUUCUUAUUUCUUGUUCUUUCUUAUUUCUUUUACGGGGACUUACUUUUGUUUCUUUAAUUAGGAUACCUUCACCUGGUAUUUUUUGUUUUAAUUAAUGAAUAUAGAUUUGUCUCAACCAAGCUAGCCGUAUAGUAGAAAUUCAGCAUGCACACAAGGUGAUCUGGUUGAGUUUUACUAGGUAACCGUACCAUUGUUGUCUGCAUGCUGAAAAGCUUAUGGGUAUGUACUGAAACUAAAUUAUACUCCCUCCGUCCGGAAAUACUUGUCAUUGAAAUAGAUGUAUCUAGAUGUAUUUUAGUUCUAGAUACAUCUAUUUUCAUCCAUUCUGAUGACAAGUAUUUCCGGACGGAGGGAGUAGUUGUUAAGGAUUAUUUGCAGACAGGUCAAGACCGGAAGAUGUCAUCAUUAUCCCUAAACUGAGAUGUCUUCAGGAUUGGAAAUGUCACGAAGGCCCCCGUACAAUUAUAGGUACCAACAUAUAAAAAUCCAAGAAUUUCCUGCUAAGAGACACUCGACAUGCAAACUUAAAUCAUGCUAGAAUUCGUCAAAUACCAUGUUUAACCUGAAUUAGUUACUUGACAUGUGCCUAUCUUCUUCUUUUUCCAAAUUAUGUGUUCAAUUGUUCAUCAUAUUAUUGAUGGAAUUAAUUUUGCAUCGAUUGUUUGCACCACUUGAUAAUUACAACGAAAGUUAUGGAUGUCCAAUCUGGCUGGUUGUUUGUCUACUACUAAAGCUUGUACAUAUUUGCUUAAAUUUGAAUACAUGUCAAAAAAAAAUCUCCCGUUGCCACACACACAUCCGUGGCAAUUGUUGAAAGCUCUGAAUGCUUCACUCUUUGUUCUGAUGCUUAGGGAUAUUGGGUAGAAUCCAGUGUCACUCAUGAUCCUGGUUUAAUAGAGGAACUGAAUUGAUCAUGAUUUUGAAUGUCAAAUGUCACACAGGGAAGGGCCUGAACAUGAACUUACUUGGUAAUGCCCAUUUGUGUAGAUCGGUAGCCUGUGGCAUCUAUUUUGUCCAAUCGUCCGCCACGAACAAAUUUUCUUUGUUGGGUGCUGGUGGUUCUACUUCCAAUGUUUUUGUAGGACAUUGCUCGGUUAGUAAUGACUUUGAAUGUAAAGCGUGCUAUGAAGUACAUGAUGCGCUGUGUAGUUCCCUCAAUUACGUGAAGAAGAAGAAUGGCAGCAAAGACUUAUGAGGUAAAGGGCCAAAACCAAGCUGCGGUCAGUUGGGGAGCCAAAUUGCAAGUGCAUUUCAAGUGAGGUUUUCAGAACCAUCGGCUGGAAUAGGAAGGGCAGUGGCCAAUGCUGUUCCUGGGGUGCGCUGUAGUACUGUUCUUUUCACAAGUCUUUUGGUUUGCUUUAUGCUGGUUGUGUGCUCGUUUGCCUGUUGGAGCAACCUGCAAAUGUUCAAAGACGUUCACAAGUCUUUUGGUCCCUCUUUUUUUUUUCCUAUUUUGCAAACACCCAUUGCUUGAUUUCCUCUUUCAAAAUAAACAUCUAGAAAAAUGCAUUGGAGGAUUCUAUUUCUUAGAAAAAAGUUGAUUUUUCUGUUUGUUUUAAAAAUGUGGCAUUGCCUUCCGUAAACAAAUAGCAUUGCCGAGCACAUGUCGCAGUAGGGUUUCGAUAACAGGUCUAGAUUACUAAUUAACCUCUAAGUAGUAAAAAAAUAAGGUUCUCAAUUCCAGUAAAAAGAAAAUUCGUAACCGACCAGUUACCGGUUUACCGGCCCCUCCGGUGGAGAAUAUAUACUGGCCGGAAUUGGCUGGUGUUGAGAAAAUUCCCUUGAAUUCAACAAAUUUGGUUCAAAUGUUAAAGAAUUCAAAAUUUGUUCAAAUGAUUUUGCAUGGAAAUUAAUCGAAACAGAUCUGAGAUUUCCAAGGUUUACUGGAAACCGAUUCUUCCAGGCCCUAAAUAAACAUCAUAUAGAGAGAGAAAAAAAGGCCUUGGUCCAAACUCCAAAUAUCAU
Long non-coding RNA from Triticum aestivum (bread wheat), 3962 nucleotides. RefSeq lists it as uncharacterized. NCBI's taxonomy places the organism in Eukaryota, Viridiplantae, Streptophyta, Magnoliopsida, Poales, Poaceae. The transcript has 4 exons. The record is from RefSeq and is a predicted model, not a curated record.